RNAcentral lists this transfer RNA (84 nucleotides) under Photobacterium halotolerans. It matches the Rfam family "tRNA". Rfam says of the family: Transfer RNA (tRNA) molecules are approximately 80 nucleotides in length. Their secondary structure includes four short double-helical elements and three loops (D, anti-codon, and T loops). The record is from Rfam by way of RNAcentral. Lineage: Bacteria; Pseudomonadati; Pseudomonadota; Gammaproteobacteria; Vibrionales; Vibrionaceae.
GCCCGGGUGGCGAAAUUGGUAGACGCAGCGGAUUCAAAAUCCGCCGCUGGUGACAGUGUGCCGGUUCAAGUCCGGCCCCGGGCA